CGGGGCGUAGCGCAGUUUGGUUAGCGCGCUGGCAUGGGGGGCCAGAGGUCCCCGGUUCAAAUCCGGGCGCCCCGACCA
This 78-nucleotide transfer RNA is filed under the name bacterium. Its description in RNAcentral is "tRNA-Pro". It matches the Rfam family "tRNA". From Rfam's summary of the family: Transfer RNA (tRNA) molecules are approximately 80 nucleotides in length. Their secondary structure includes four short double-helical elements and three loops (D, anti-codon, and T loops). The record is from RNAcentral. RNAcentral also lists the same sequence under 5 other names.